UAAACAUAAAAAAUAUCAAUAGGGACAAGUACAAGCAAGGGGGGCUAGGCCUUACCUUACUAAUCCUAAUGAAGUACCUAACUUCUGCUACCUAACAAGCAUGAAGAAAAUAAGAGCUAGAGAAAACUAAGUAUUUUCUGAUCAUCACAGAGUUUAUAAUACACUCCAUGAUGAUAUUACAAAUGAGGAUGCUUAAAUAAUGUAAAAAUAUGUCAAUCAAGAAGAAAGUUGAGUUACC
RNAcentral lists this long non-coding RNA (238 nucleotides) under Solanum tuberosum (potato). RNAcentral describes it as "long non-coding RNA (STUB_LNC004931)". The record is from RNAcentral. Lineage: Eukaryota; Viridiplantae; Streptophyta; Magnoliopsida; Solanales; Solanaceae.